CCCUAUGGGGUGCAGCAGGCGAGAAAUGUGAUAGCAUAUCCAGGGGCGAUGAGAGGCUCCUCUCUUCUUUGAGGCUGCUCAUCUGCCUUCAGGACUAGGCCAUGGGAUUCGGGGACAAUCAAAGUGACUAUGAUGAUCGAUGCUAUUCCCAGUAGGGUCCAGAAGUAGAAGGGCGCUUCGAGCCCCAUCUGGUCAUAGAGCGCUCCCCCCAUAAAUGGCCCUAAAGCCAGGGCGGAGUAAAGGGCAGCAUUGUAAAAGCCCAUGGCUGCUCCUCUGCAGUGGGCCCGAGACUGGGCAAUGAUCAUGGCCAUGGCAGUGGGCCAGACGAAGGCGGCACCGACACCCCCCAGAGCUCUUAUGAAUAGCAGGGUAUAGGCGUUAUCGGCAUAGAUGUACAGGGGCGGGAGAGC
This 410-nucleotide ribosomal RNA is filed under the name uncultured prokaryote. RNAcentral describes it as "partial 16S ribosomal RNA". The record is from RNAcentral.